AUUGAUGCUUCGUUCCGCCCGAACUAUUUUUAUCGGCCGCCGGAGGCCGCCAUCUCCGCGGCGCGGGUAGCGCAGGAGGACCCGGCAAUAACCGAAGCCCCACUACCAUCCCCGCCCUCCGCUGACUCUCACUUUCCGCGUCGGCCAUGACUUCGACCUCCACAGGCUCGAGGUGGGUCUCCCACUGAUCAUCGGGGGCAUCGACAUCCACCACGGCCGCGGCUGCGAACGGUGAAAGCUAGAGGAGAUGUGUUGCUUCACCGUGUGGUGGAUGCGAUUGUGGGGGCCUUGGGGCUUCCCGACAUCGGCCAGAUCAUUCGCGAUAUUGAUCCCAGGUGGAAGGGCUUCGCGUCCUCCGUCUUCUUGAAAGAGGCUAUUUCUGAUUUGAGCAUCAGAGGAUUUCCGUCGGAGCCAAUUCCGAUCAGAGACUUGUUUCAUAGGUCCGGUCACCGUCAUCUCUACCGGACGCCACUACACUGCAGCAACUCCGACCCGAGCCCGGAAUUUGCCGCAACAGAUACUAAAAACUAUAUAGAAGGAAUAGAAUAUAAGUGAUGCACAACCAAUUGAUAUACAUUUUAUAUUCUAAAUUCUUUGAAUGAAACAUGUAUAAUUAAUAAUGUUUUAGAUAUCAUCGUCUAGAUAAUUUGUAGCACUCUUAACAUUAUUCAGUUUGUACUUGCCACCAAUAUCAUCAUGACCCAAGCCUUUACUCAUCAAAUAUGGGGUUGUUAUAGAGCAUGACUUCAAGAUUAGAAGGCUUAGGUUGCAUUUGGCAUUAUUGUCGCUUUCUUUUUUUUUUUUAAAAUGGAAACAUGAAUGCUAUUUUCUUUUCAGAUUUUUGACAACACAAAAUAUGUUUGGUUCACCUCUUUUUUUUUUUAUUUAUAACAACAAGGGCUGGCGAAGUGGUCGACAAUGAUGGAGAGGGAGAGGGUAUAGGACUGGCAACAUUGUUGGGGACGAGUAAGAGCUCGAUAUAGGGUGGAAAGACAACUGAGAGAGUGGCAAAGGGAGGAGUAGGAAUGGGAUGAGAGAUAGCUUGGUGUUGGGCGGAGAGAUGGCUGGCGAGGCUCUGGAGCCGAUGAGGUCAUGUGGGGCAACGGGGCUGAGGGCAAAGUCGGAUGGAAGAAGAGGGAUCAGGAGGCUAAGGGUAAAAACCCUUUUUUUUUAAAAAAAAAGUGGAAAUGAAAAUUUCCACUUCCACUUUUUCUAAAAAUAAUGAAAGUUUCUUUUUAGAAAAAUAAAAACAACAAAAACGGGGUAACCAAACAUAAUUUUUCUGCAUUCGAUUCUGUGUUUCUGUUUCAUAAAUGAUGAGACAAAAAAAAAGUACCAAACAGGACCUUAAUAGAUUUGUGCAGAUUUUACAACCAGUUGUCACCCUAAUGUCAACCAUCUAGAAGUGGGGAAGGGGAGGGGACAGCUAUUCAGCUAGUCCAUGUAUUCCAUCCAAUCAGUCUGGAAAAGGCAUUGCUUCAAAUCAUUGUAACUUUCUUUUUUUGGAAGGAAAAGGAGGCUCGAAAAGCCACCCAUUUAUUAAAAGAAAUGAAUACAAGUACCAGUCAACCCAUAUGUACAAAAGGAGGAAGGGGACAAUACUUCCUGAAGCUUUGGCUGUAUCUUUCAAAGAGACAAGUGCAGCUGCUACUUCAAGAAUUUAACAAAAAGGAUUGACGUAGUCUACAUGCAAUACAGAAACAUCUAAAGAAGAGGGGAUAGAAAAAAGGAUAGGGAACAAACACAUGGACAAAGUAAAAGAAGGAUUUACAGCAAGCCUCCUUUUUACAGAGACAUUAGCCAAAAAACCAAAUGGCAUGAAUCUUCAGCAAUGGAUUGCAGACUUCCUUGAAAUUUGAAAGGAUAUGAACUUGGAAUUAGACUAAUGCAUGAGGCAGGCUAUGAACUUGGAAAGUUUGAUGCCAUAUUGAUCCUACAAAGGCCAAAACUCAGUCCACACAAGGAGGCCAUUAGAGCAACCUUCUGCGAUCUUCUUGGAGCAGACCCAUCUAUUGUAAAUCUUAAAGCAGAAUCUCAUGAGAAGGUUGACAGCGUUGGAGAAACUAGAAGCACUGCAGUUCACACUGUGGUUCUUCUGAUGACGAGGUAGCAGCGGACCUCUCUUUUAAUGAGAGAGAUCUUUAAUUCAUUUGUUGCUGUUGUAUGCUAAUUGUUGGAUACUGUAUAGUUGUCCAUACAGCAAGCAUCAUAGGAGAUGCAACUCAAGCUUGCUCCUUCAAUCUAUAACCAUUCAGUCUAUAUCUACUGAAACUCUGUACUAUCACUGCAUUAAUGAGAAUUCCCGAAUUAGAUUUGCUCGCUU
Elaeis guineensis (African oil palm) is the source of this 2323-nucleotide long non-coding RNA. RefSeq lists it as uncharacterized. Lineage: Eukaryota; Viridiplantae; Streptophyta; Magnoliopsida; Arecales; Arecaceae. The record is from RefSeq and is a predicted model, not a curated record.